RNAcentral lists this ribosomal RNA (1287 nucleotides) under Triticum aestivum (bread wheat). Its description in RNAcentral is "partial small subunit ribosomal RNA". The record is from RNAcentral. Lineage: Eukaryota; Viridiplantae; Streptophyta; Magnoliopsida; Poales; Poaceae.
CACCGGCCGGCUUUUCCUCUGCUGGUGGUUGACCUCGUCCCUCACCUCCGGACGGAUGAAAGCCACCCCUCACCUCGCCUCGCCCCUCGGCCUCUCGUCGGGAGGUGAAAGCCACGGCGACAGCGGCAGCGCCAGCUCCCAAGAGCGCGCGCGCGCCGCCCCCAAGAUGGAUUAAGCCGAGACAAGACGAGACGAGACCACCGUCUCGUCUUCCCCCUCACCCCUCUACCACCGCCGCCGCGGCACGCGGCGCGCCUCCAGGAAGUCCCUGAGCGAGUUCCACGACCUCCGCCUGUAGGUCGUGCGGUUGUUGGACCGCAGGCUCACGAGCUCCCUGAUGCUGCCCCGCACGGACGUCUACGCGUACAGGAUGUCGGGGCGGCGCGCGGAGAAGGAGAAGGAGGACGUCACCUGGCUGACGUCGGAGCGGCCGCGGGAGCCGGAGGAGUCCUAGGAGUAGAUGUUCCAAAUACACCUGCCGUGUUGGUGGUACAGGUGGGUGCUUUCCUUCCGGUCGUAGUCCCUCAAGAUGCGCCACUAUAAGGGGAGGGAGUACGUCGACCUCGUGCCCUAGUCGCUGAGGCUGCUGGCCUCCGUCUCCCGCCGCACGAGGCUCUCCAUGUCCGCCUCUCUGCUCGGCCUCCUGUCGUUCUCCGGCCAGAGGCUCUAGCUGCGGCUCUAGCUUCUCCUCACGCCCUAGACGUACCUCGAGUUGUCGUCCCAGCACGACGGGUUGACGUCGGUGCUGUACACGUAGUUGACGAUGGCAGUUACCGCGAGCUCUAGAGUUAGGACGGGGAAGACGGCCCUGUCGGAGUUUUCUCAUUUGAGGCCGCUGGAUACCUACGAGUGGCUGGUCGCGCUGCACCAGCUGUACCGCUGCCACUGCUCCCUCUUGUAGUCCGCGGACAAGUGGAUGUAGCUCUUCGACGGAGAGCAGUGCGACCUGUUGUAGAAGCUACGGAUACUAAGGGUACAUUUUAUUGAAACUCGGCAACUGCUACUGAACGAGAGCUGACAAAAAAGAAAGACCCUCGCAACUGCGUACCGAACAACAACAACAACCAAGUACGUCUCCUACAAGGAGCAGGAUCCUACACCGACUGGUACGUACCUACCUCGUCGGACUGUCUCUCUGGGUUGGACACACUCGUGGGAUCCCAGGAGUCCGAAACAUUUAUGUACAUGUCUAAAUGUCAAACGUACCUUUACAAUGUCCCUUUUCAGUCUUGUUGUUAUACAAUAAUACGUCUGUAUAUCACGUACAUGAUGGAGGCAAAACUUUAU